Non-coding RNA from Phalacrocorax carbo (great cormorant), 1030 nucleotides. NCBI's taxonomy places the organism in Eukaryota, Metazoa, Chordata, Aves, Suliformes, Phalacrocoracidae. The record is from RefSeq and is a predicted model, not a curated record.
GCUGUUCCUGUCCUCAUGCUGCUUGGUGAUGGGGCAAUGGGGGAAGGCUGGGAUGAAGAAGGCUUUUUGGGACUAUCUCCUGCUCCGGCUGUGCCUCGGAGGUGCUGGGUGCAGGAGGCCCAGCCCGGCCGUGGCUGGGGGUGGCAGAGCAGCCUGGCAGGGGGCUGCUCCUUCCCCUGUUUCUGGAAGGUCUGAUGCUGAGCACGGCACCAUGGCCGUCCUUCUCUGCCGAGGGGGAUCCAGCCCCCAGCGCCAUCGAGCCAGACCUGGGGCCAAGGUCACAUUCCUGACAAAGAGAGGGGAAAAAAACCCCAGAAUAAAACCAACCCAAAGCGGAAGAAAAAGCAGCAUGCUGCAAAACCCAGAAGACAAAUGAGGAGCUGGAAAAUUUUGAAGCAGCCACAAGGAAUUUCAGGGUUGGCUUUUUUUUUUUCCAAAAGUCUUGCUGACCCCGUGUGGCUUCUCCUUGCCAUCCGGCUUGCGGGGAGAUGCAGCAAGCGGGUGCCUGCUCCGCCACCGUGCCGACUUAUUGCCAAGCCUGGCUUUUCCCAAAGAGCCGCUGCUGCCUGGAGGAGCCGUGUCUGUCUGCUCUUCGUCAGCAACACGGCUCAGGCGGCCGCGCUGCGAUUUUCUCGCCUUCUUCCAGCCCAGCGCUCCCUUUGGAAGUGUUUGUAGCGGUGUCUGAAUAACCUAAUUUAGAGUCCGUUAGAUGGGGAGGGUUUUGGCAGGCGGCGCUGUGCCGGGGAGCCGGAUGGAGGGAUGCAGCUGGCCGGGAACGUGGCUUUGGCAGCUGUUGCUGGAUAUUCUCAUGGAGAGAAAACAAGACUGGGAGGGUCCUGCAGAGAAAAGCCAACCUCCUCCCUGCCCGGGAGCGCUUGAUCACUGCUAGCUGGUGCUUCCUCACCCAUCCCAGCCCCCUCCCCUUCCAGGGGGCCUGGUCCCCUCCCCGUUGUCCUUUCCUGACUGUUCCCACAUCUUCCCCAGCUCCUGUUUCCCCAGACUAAACACCCACCAGACUUUUUACCUUUCA